AGGAUUAACGCUGGCGGCGUGCCUAACACAUGCAAGUCGAACGAGGUAGCAAUACCUAGUGGCAGACGGGUGAGUAGCGCGUGGUCAACCUACCGUUGAGUGGGGGAUAACUAGCCGAAAGGUUAGCUAAUACCGCAUACGUCUCCGAGGGGCAUCCCUUGGUGAUAAAAGGAGCAAUCCGCUCGAUGACGGGACCGCGUCCCAUUAGCUAGUUGGUGGGGUAACGGCCUACCAAGGCAUCGAUGGGUAGCUGGUUUGAGAGAGCGACCAGCCACACUGGGACUGAGAUACGGCCCAGACUCCUACGGGAGGCAGCAGUGAGGAAUUUUCCGCAAUGGGCGAAAGCCUGACGGAGCGACGCCGCGUGUGGGAAGAAGGCCUUCGGGUCGUAAACCACUGUCAAAGGGGAGAUAAUGACGGUACCCUUGGAGGAAGCCCCGGCUAACUACGUGCCAGCAGCCGC
This 463-nucleotide ribosomal RNA is filed under the name uncultured bacterium. Its description in RNAcentral is "SSU rRNA". It matches the Rfam family "Bacterial small subunit ribosomal RNA", at positions 26 to 518 of the family's 1533-position model. The record is from RNAcentral.